UGCCAAUCUGGAGUCUGGACUGGUAAUCAGCUACACCUCUGUCCAAUUAGGUCUUCUCCAGGGGAACCUGGUUUAACAAUGAGAUUCUCAGACUGUAUGGUGAUGAGUGCCUAGAAAUACCUGAGAUCAUCUCUAUAGCCCUGGAACAAAUUCGAAGGGACCUGCAUCGAGCUUGGAAUGCUACAGAAUGGACGAUGUGAUGCCUAAAGAGAAAGUGAAGAAUCCGAACUGAUACCCGGUUCAUCUACAAAAUAAAUCUGUAUUGCAGAAAAAUUUAAAAUAAAUUGUUAAAUGAGA
Long non-coding RNA from Dermochelys coriacea (leatherback sea turtle), 297 nucleotides. RefSeq lists it as uncharacterized. The record is from RefSeq and is a predicted model, not a curated record. Lineage: Eukaryota; Metazoa; Chordata; Testudines; Dermochelyidae. The transcript has 3 exons.